This 142-nucleotide ribosomal RNA is filed under the name uncultured eukaryote. Its description in RNAcentral is "partial 18S ribosomal RNA". It matches the Rfam family "Eukaryotic small subunit ribosomal RNA", at positions 1299 to 1458 of the family's 1831-position model. The record is from RNAcentral.
UGGUGGAGUGAUUUGUCUGGUUAAUUCCGUUAACAAACGAGACCCCUGCCUGCCAAAUAGCCAAAUGAGUGAUUUUUCACUGAUUGUGGCUUCAUAGAGGGACAUGCAUUUUAUUAGAUGCAGGAAGAUAGGGGCAAUAACA